CCCAACACUCACCCUAACCCCAACCCUAACCCCUUACCAAAUGACCUUAAUCUAACUUUUUAAACUUUUUCGAAAAUCUAACUUUUUCAACUUUUUUUUUUGCUUUUUCAACUUUUUUAAACUUUUUUUGCUUUUUCAACGUUUUUAAACUUUUUUAGACUAUUUUUUGAAAAUCUUGAGAAUCUCCCCACUCCUGCGCGGCCAGCCUCCCUUUUAGUGUCAUUUACAUUUAUAACAAAAAGUCUUGUCUAAAGGCCCAUACAGACCGGACGAGAUUUGGCAACGCGACGCGAAUUUUCAGUUUUCAAUGACAUUUAACUUUAAUAUUUUUCAAUGUUUUUCAAAUAUUCGGAACCACUUAAGC
Paramuricea clavata is the source of this 364-nucleotide non-coding RNA. The record is from the annotation of a GenBank genome assembly. Lineage: Eukaryota; Metazoa; Cnidaria; Anthozoa; Malacalcyonacea; Plexauridae.